RNAcentral lists this ribosomal RNA (631 nucleotides) under uncultured Actinomycetales bacterium. Its description in RNAcentral is "bacterial SSU rRNA". It matches the Rfam family "Bacterial small subunit ribosomal RNA", at positions 65 to 711 of the family's 1533-position model. Lineage: Bacteria; Bacillati; Actinomycetota; Actinomycetes; Actinomycetales. The record is from RNAcentral.
AACGAUGAAGUUCCUUCGGGAAUGGAUUAGUGGCGAACGGGUGAGGAACACGUGAGAAACCUGCCUUUCAUUCUGGGAUAACACCGGGAAACCGGUGCUAAUACCGGAUACUCCAUCUUGGCGGCAUCGCCGAGCUGGGAAAAAAUUUUGAUGAAAGAUGGUCUCGCGGCCUAUCAGCUAGUUGGUGAGGUAAUGGCUCACCAAGGCGACGACGGGUAGCCGGCCUGAGAGGGCGACCGGCCACACUGGGACUGAGACACGGCCCAGACUCCUACGGGAGGCAGCAGUAGGGAAUAUUGGGCAAUGGGCGAAAGCCUGACCCAGCGACGCCGCGUGAGGGAUGAAGGUCUUCGGAUUGUAAACCUCUUUCAGUAGGGAAGAAGCGAAAGUGACGGUACCUAAAGAAGAAGCACCGGCUAACUAUGUGCCAGCAGCCGCGGUAAUACAUAGGGUGCAAGCGUUGUCCGGAAUUAUUGGGCGUAAAGAGCUCGUAGGUCGUUUGUCGCGUCGUUUGUGAAAAUCUGAGGCUCAACCUCAGACCUGCAGUCGAUACGGGCAAACUAGAGUGUGGUAGGGGAGACUGGAAUUCCUGGUGUAGCGGUGGAAUGCGCAGAUAUCAGGAGGAACACCA